AUUGAACGCUGGCGGCAUGCCUUACACAUGCAAGUCGAACGGCAGCACGGGGGGUAACCCCUGGUGGCGAGUGGCGAACGGGUGAGUAAUAUAUCGGAACGUGCCCUGUAGCGGGGGAUAACCUAUCGAAAGAUGGACUAAUACCGCAUACGACCUACGGGUGAAAGCGGAGGACCGCAAGGCUUCGCACUAUAGGAGCGGCCGAUAUCGGAUUAGCUAGUUGGUGGGGUAAAAGCCUACCAAGGCGACGAUCCGUAGCUGGUCUGAGAGGACGAUCAGCCACACUGGAACUGAGACACGGUCCAGACUCCUACGGGAGGCAGCAGUGGGGAAUUUUGGACAAUGGGCGCAAGCCUGAUCCAGCCAUGCCGCGUGAGUGAAGAAGGCCUUCGGGUUGUAAAGCUCUUUCGGCGGGGACGAAACGGUUCGUGCUAAUACCACGGACUAAUGACGGUACCCGCAUAAGGAGCACCGGCUAACUACGUGCCAGCAGCCGCGGU
Molecule: ribosomal RNA, 500 nt
Filed under: uncultured bacterium
Lineage: Bacteria
Description: bacterial SSU rRNA
Rfam family: Bacterial small subunit ribosomal RNA
Source: RNAcentral